UCGGUUGGUUGAUUGGUGGUCCUAUUUCAUAUCAAGCUAAACAAGUAAUUUGCAAUCAUUCAGUUAUCAAUGAUAACCUCCCAACUACAAACAAAAUUAACAAUUUAUUAACAAAAUUUAGGAAGCUAGAAGAGCUUCACCAUAAAACAAUUCAAAGCGAAGCAAAAUUAGCCUGUGAGAACCACUUUCGGUCUCACACUUCACGGCUUCCUUCAGGCAGGUCUAGUGUCAGGCUUCCAUUACGCAAUUCACCUGAUUGUCUAGGUGAAACAUAUAACUUAGCAAAAGGGCGAUUAUUCAAUUUAGAAAAACGUUUCAAAAAAUAUGUUUCAUUAAAAUCUCAAUACAUACAGUUUAUGAGAGAAUAUCAAAGUUUAGGUCAGCAGAGAUCUAUUCCAAUAGCAAACGCAAUUUUGUAGGAGCGGCAAGAGAGCUCAGUAAAUUCACCGAUAUACAAAACAUCGCGUUAACUGAAUUUACAGCUCAGCAAAGCAUCAAAAUUUAAAUUCAUUCUGUCUUACGCUCCUCACUUCGGCGACAUAUGGGAGGCCGGUGUGACCGGCAAAAUAUCAUAUCAACAAUGCAUCACACAAACAAACAUAUAUAUAAUAUAUAAACGAGUCAUGGGAGUUCUCAUUUAACUUUUGAAGAAAUUUUAACUUUUAAGGCAAUUCUAACUUUGUUUGCACGAGUGGAGGCUACUUUGAAUAGUCGUCCCUUGUGCCCAUUAUCCAUGUUCCCUUGACGAUUUCCUUUUCCUUUCCCCAGGGCACUUCUUAAUCAGAAGACCACUAAAUGAGCUGCCGGCUCCCGCCUUGGAGAAUGAAGGGGAACUACAAUUAAAACGCUACGCACGUCUCAAGCAAAUCAUACAACAAAAUGAAGACAAGACUAAGCUAAAGUAUUUAUAUGAACUGUGAGUGCAAUAGACAAUCAGUGAUGUGACAGAACGUUGGGUAUAUAAGACAGUGAUUUGACAUUUAAACCCUCUUUCCCAUAUUUCUUCUCGUCGUACGAAGUGUUUGCAUAAUAAUGUAAUUUGUAAUACAGCAAUCUAUUCUCUUCAAUCUUUCAUUUUCUCCAACUCUUCAAACAACAA
Molecule: unclassified non-coding RNA, 1099 nt
Filed under: Melitaea cinxia (Glanville fritillary)
Lineage: Eukaryota; Metazoa; Arthropoda; Insecta; Lepidoptera; Nymphalidae
Description: misc RNA ENSMCXG00005014228.1
Source: RNAcentral